GCCCAGGUGGUGGAAUUGGUAUACACGCAGCACUUAAAAUGCUGUCCAUUAUUUGGAUGCGGGUUCGACUCCCGCCCUGGGCA
RNAcentral lists this transfer RNA (83 nucleotides) under Patescibacteria group bacterium. RNAcentral's name for it is "tRNA-Leu". It matches the Rfam family "tRNA". Rfam says of the family: Transfer RNA (tRNA) molecules are approximately 80 nucleotides in length. Their secondary structure includes four short double-helical elements and three loops (D, anti-codon, and T loops). The record is from RNAcentral.